GACGAACGCUGGCGGCGUGCUUAACACAUGCAAGUCGAACGGAAAGGCCCUGCUUUUGUGGGGUGCUCGAGUGGCGAACGGGUGAGUAACACGUGAGUAACCUGCCCUUGACUUUGGGAUAACUUCAGGAAACUGGGGCUAAUACCGGAUAGGAGCUCCUGCUGCAUGGUGGGGGUUGGAAAGUUUCGGCGGUUGGGGAUGGACUCGCGGCUUAUCAGCUUGUUGGUGGGGUAGUGGCUUACCAAGGCUUUGACGGGUAGCCGGCCUGGGAGGGUGACCGGCCACAUUGGGACCGAGAUACCGCCCAGACUCCUACGGGAGGCAGCAGUGGGGAAUAUUGCACAAUGGGCGGAAGCCUGAUGCAGCAACGCCGCGUGCGGGAUGACGGCCUUCGGGUUGUAAACCGCUUUCGCCUGUGACGAAGCGUGAGUGACGGUAAUGGGUAAAGAAGCACCGGCUAACUACGUG
RNAcentral lists this ribosomal RNA (468 nucleotides) under uncultured bacterium. RNAcentral's name for it is "partial 16S ribosomal RNA". It matches the Rfam family "Bacterial small subunit ribosomal RNA", at positions 28 to 507 of the family's 1533-position model. The record is from RNAcentral.